UAAAUAGCUAAAGACAACCAUCAAGGCAUUUUUUUUCCCAAAAGGCACAGAAGGAGAAUCAAUCAUCAAAUGAGAGGCCACCUCUGCAUAUUGGCCCUUAUCCUUUGAAAGAUAAUAAAAACAACAGCUGCUAUUGUUUUAGCCAAGAAAGGGCCACUGGACCAGGUCCAGGAGGAACAGAAAAGAGUGACGGCAACUGCUGAUUCAAGAAAAUUGUUCUGUUUCAGUUUUUAUUUUAUUUUGGAUGUACUCCUUCUCCACAAUGAGUUUCUCAAACAUGCAUCUAAUGAAAGCCGCCUGUUCUCAACCCUCCUAGAACUUCAAGAUGCGCAAACUUACAAGGAAAGCAAGGAUGAGCGCUAAUAUGUACUGUAUUCAUGUGAAUACAAGAUUUUUUUUUAAUAAGAAAAUCAAACUCUAAAAAUACAAUAUACUUCAUAAUUACAGAUUGAAAAAUGGGCCCCUGUGUCCUAGGCAGCUGCCCACUGCUGGGGCCAGGGUACACUGCCAUCCUAGGAAGAGAGUGAGGAGGAGGGUGAAAAAACUCACCCAGGAAAGGCAGUGAGGGGUGGUGAGGGAGCACAAAGAAAGUCACUUCAAAUCUCUCUCUAGCCAGAACUAUAUUGUUUUUCUGCACAAAAAUAUUUUCUUGUGGCCCCUUUAUAGACUAGCUUGUAAAAACACUGCAAAGUGCUACGAUUCGAAGGGUUCUGGAACUGAAGACAAAUCUUUAAAAGUUAGAUACCAAA
Mandrillus leucophaeus (drill) is the source of this 749-nucleotide long non-coding RNA. RefSeq lists it as uncharacterized. The record is from RefSeq and is a predicted model, not a curated record. The transcript is spliced from 2 exons. NCBI's taxonomy places the organism in Eukaryota, Metazoa, Chordata, Mammalia, Primates, Cercopithecidae.